UACGUAGGUGGCGAGCGUUAUCCGGAAUUACUGGGCGUAAAGAGCUCGUAGGUGGUUUGUCACGUCGUCUGUGAAAUUCCGGGGCUUAACCUCGGGCGUGCAGGCGAUACGGGCAAUACUUGAGUGCUGUAGGGGAGACUGGAAUUCCAGGUGUAGCGGUGGAAUGCGCAGAUAUCUGGAGGAACACCAGUGGCGAAGGCGGCCUCCUGGACCAUUCCUGACACUCAGACGCGAAAGCUAGGGUAGCAAACGGGAUUAGAUACCCCGGGUAGUCCCU
This 277-nucleotide ribosomal RNA is filed under the name uncultured prokaryote. RNAcentral's name for it is "partial 16S ribosomal RNA". It matches the Rfam family "Bacterial small subunit ribosomal RNA", at positions 524 to 798 of the family's 1533-position model. The record is from RNAcentral.